RNAcentral lists this ribosomal RNA (253 nucleotides) under uncultured bacterium. RNAcentral describes it as "partial 16S ribosomal RNA". It matches the Rfam family "Bacterial small subunit ribosomal RNA", at positions 524 to 776 of the family's 1533-position model. The record is from RNAcentral.
UACGUAGGUGGCAAGCGUUGUCCGGAAUUACUGGGUGUAAAGGGAGCGUAGGCGGGGAGACAAGUUGGAUGUGAAAUACCCAGGCUCAACCUGGGGGCUGCAUCCAAAACUGUUUCUCUUGAGUGAAGUAGAGGCAGGCGGAAUUCCUAGUGUAGCGGUGAAAUGCGUAGAUAUUAGGAGGAACACCAGUGGCGAAGGCGGCCUGCUGGGCUUUAACUGACGCUGAGGCUCGAAAGCGUGGGGAGCAAACAGG